GAUGAAGAACGUAGCGAAAUGCGAUAAGUAAUGUGAAUUGCAGAAUUCAGUGAAUCAUCGAAUCUUUGAACGCACAUUGCGCCCGCUAGUAUUCUGGCGGGCAUGCCUGUUCGAGCGUCAUUUCAACCAUCAAGCCCUGCUUGUGUUGGAGCCCUGCGGCUGCCGCAGCCUCCCAAAACCAGUGGCGGGCUCGCUAUCACACCGAGUGCAGUAGUUUACUCUUCGCUCAGGGCGUGUGGCGGGUGCUAGCCGUGAAACCCCCAACUUCUCAAGGUUGACCUCGGAUCAGGUAGGAAUACCCGCUGAACUUAAGCAUAUCAAUAAGCGGAGGA
Molecule: unclassified non-coding RNA, 332 nt
Filed under: soil metagenome
Description: partial contains 5.8S ribosomal RNA, internal transcribed spacer 2, and large subunit ribosomal RNA
Rfam family: 5.8S ribosomal RNA (bases 1-120)
Source: RNAcentral